GGUUGUUUCCAAACCAUCUUGAGCUGUGAUCUUGUCUAAUGUUAUAAACUAAGCAAGAUCAGGCCUAGUUAAUACUUGAACGAGAUCUUCAGGGAACAACCAGGUGCUGCAGGAA
Molecule: ribosomal RNA, 115 nt
Organism: Chrysemys picta bellii (western painted turtle)
Lineage: Eukaryota; Metazoa; Chordata; Testudines; Emydidae
Source: Ensembl